CUACGGGUUGCUGCAGUGAGGAAUUUUGCGCAAUGGGGGGAACCCUGACGCAGCAACGCCGCGUGAGUGAUGAAGGCUUUCGGGUCGUAAAGCUCUGUCAAGUGGGAAGAACCUAUGCAGUGUUAAUAUCACUGUAUACUGACGGUACCACUGAAGGAAGCACCGGCUAACUCCGUGCCAGCAGCCGCGGUAAUACGGGGGGUGCAAGCGUUAUUCGGAAUCAUUGGGCGUAAAGGGCACGUAGGCGGCUUGGUAAGUCAGAUGUGAAAGCCCGGGGCUUAACCCCGGAAGUGCAUUUGAUACUGUCAGGCUUGAGUAUGGGAGAGGGAAGUGGAAUUCCUGGUGUAGAGGUGAAAUUCGUAGAUAUCAGGAGGAACACCGGUGGCGAAGGCGACUUCCUGGACCAAUACUGACGCUGAGGUGCGAAGGCGUGGGUAGCAAACAGGAUUAGAUACCCCCGUAGUC
Molecule: ribosomal RNA, 465 nt
Filed under: uncultured bacterium
Lineage: Bacteria
Description: partial 16S ribosomal RNA
Rfam family: Bacterial small subunit ribosomal RNA
Source: RNAcentral